CUGUAAUAUGGUAACAUUGGGGGAAGUUGCGUGAAGUGUAUAUGGGAGGUUGCAGGAGAUGAGAGCGUGCUUUCUUUCUUCAAGUUUGGUAUAGGGACAGUUUUUUUACAAAUGAACGGUUUUUAGUAUUAAUACCGAAUUGCUAGCUUGCUGCUUUUCUCAUUCGAGAAUAACCAUGCUGGUCACAGAGAGCAGGUACAGAGAUGAAACCCAAACACAGCCUCCCUUCUCUCGGCUUGCGUCUAAAAUUUGGUCGAAGCACAAGGACAAAAGCCUGGCUCCAGGCAGCAGGAGUGGGUAUCUCAGACAGUAAUCUCUCAGCUCAGUCAAGUGGGCAGAAACUCUCCAGCUGGCUUCUCAAGAAAAGCGCAUGGGGUACACCGGGGAAGAGAAUCUUGAGAGAGGUACUGAAUAAUUUAUGCGCCAGAUAUACAUCGUAAACGCCUCUAAUCUUCACUAAACCCCUCCUAGCUCGGUAGGAUGAGUUACUUUUUAAGACUUAGGGGUGAGAUAGCCCUCUUAAGAGUAGAGGCACUUUCCCAGCACUAGCUGCCGGGAGCAGAGUUCUAGCUCCUCACCGCCUUCGCUCAGCGCCGCUCCCUCCCUCUGCAGAGGUGCGUCCCCGCUUCUCCUUCAGGCCUGUCCUUCACCCGCCUCCAGCUCCUCGCCCCGGCCGCGCCGCUCCCUCCCUCUGCGCAUAAGCGUUCUCGCCUUCUCCUCCCCGCUCGUCCGUUCCCGGCCUCCAGCUCCUCGCCACUGCCGCGCUGUUUCCUCCCUCUGCGCAUGUGCAUCCCCGCCUUCUCCUCCCCGCUCGACCGUUACCGGCCUCCAGCUCCUCGCCGCCUUCGCGCUGCUCCCUCCCUCUNCCAGCUCCUCGCCGCCUUCGCGCUGCUCCCUCCCUCUGCGCAUGUGCAUCCCCGCCUUCUCCUCCCCGCUCGACCGUUCCCGGCCUCCAGCUCCUCGCCGUGGCCGCGCCGCUCCCUCCCUCUGCGCAUGUGCGUUUCCGCCUUCUCCUCCCCGCUCGAUCGUUACCGGCCUCCAGCUACUCGCCGCCUUCGCGCUGCUCCCUCCCUCUGCGCAUGUGCAUCCCCGCCUUCUCCUCCAGGCUUGUCUUUCCCCGACCUCCAGCCCUUUGUGGGAAACCUUCUCUGGCUUCCGGGUCCACGCGGCGAGGGAGUUACGGAACCUAAAUUGGCAAUAAAUCAAUAAGAAACAAAUGUUUACAUUCACUCAGUGAAAAGUAUCAUGUCUAAGCUCAACAUCUAUCGGAGCCACACAUGGACACGUAAGUAUCUUGUAUGUGGAGCUGUG
This is a long non-coding RNA of Neogale vison (American mink), 1311 nucleotides long. The record is from Ensembl. Lineage: Eukaryota; Metazoa; Chordata; Mammalia; Carnivora; Mustelidae.